UACGGAAGGUCCGGGCGUUAUCCGGAUUUAUUGGGUUUAAAGGGAGCGUAGGCCGGAGAUUAAGCGUGUUGUGAAAUGUAGAUGCUCAACAUCUGAACUGCAGCGCGAACUGGUUUCCUUGAGUACGCAUAAAGUGGGCGGAAUUCGUGGUGUAGCGGUGAAAUGCUUAGAUAUCACGAAGAACUCCGAUUGCGAAGGCAGCUCACUGGGGCGCAACUGACGCUGAAGCUCGAAAGCGCGGGUAUCGAACAGGAUUAGAUAGUAGUCCGGCUGACUGACU
Molecule: ribosomal RNA, 280 nt
Filed under: Segatella copri DSM 18205
Lineage: Bacteria; Pseudomonadati; Bacteroidota; Bacteroidia; Bacteroidales; Prevotellaceae
Description: Prevotella copri DSM 18205 partial 16S ribosomal RNA
Rfam family: Bacterial small subunit ribosomal RNA
Source: RNAcentral